GCCAUUGAGAGAACAUGGAGGCGGAUGUUAAGAUUCUACUCUGCACCUUUACAGGAAGAAAUUGGAUGCUGACUAGAGUUCUUGUUUCCAUUGGGAAGAUCUGCCCAGCUGUCUCUGUCUGCAUUCCUAUUGGCACUCUGAUCUUUUGGGUUACCAGGAUAUUCUAGGUUUCCAUAUAUGUAAACAAAAGAAGAGGAGGUGGAAGAGCAGGAAGAGAAGCAGAAAGAGAUUACAUAGUCUAUCCUAUCAUUGACUUCUAGUCUGAAGAUUCUUCUUGAAUUGUGACAGUGCCUGCACCGCCAUGGUACCGAGACAGAGACUCGGGUCAUUUGUGCUACAAGAAUGCCAAAGCUUUACUGAGGUUCACAGUACAUAUAUCCCCAAAUCCACCAGGUGGAAAAUUCUAGGAAGCCCAGUGGAAAAACAAGUUUAUGCCCUUGGGAAAAAAACAGGAACGACAAAAAAAAAAAAAAAAAAAAAA
RNAcentral lists this long non-coding RNA (481 nucleotides) under Rattus norvegicus (Norway rat). Its description in RNAcentral is "long non-coding RNA NONRATT014184". The record is from RNAcentral. Lineage: Eukaryota; Metazoa; Chordata; Mammalia; Rodentia; Muridae.